ACGCUGGCGGCAGGCCUAACACAUGCAAGUCGAGCGGUAGAGAGAAGCUUGCUUCUCUUGAGAGCGGCGGACGGGUGAGUAAUGCCUAGGAAUCUGCCUGGUAGUGGGGGAUAACGUUCGGAAACGGACGCUAAUACCGCAUACGUCCUACGGGAGAAAGCAGGGGACCUUCGGGCCUUGCGCUAUCAGAUGAGCCUAGGUCGGAUUAGCUAGUUGGUGGGGUAAUGGCUCACCAAGGCGACGAUCCGUAACUGGUCUGAGAGGAUGAUCAGUCACACUGGAACUGAGACACGGUCCAGACUCCUACGGGAGGCAGCAGUGGGGAAUAUUGGACAAUGGGCGAAAGCCUGAUCCAGCCAUGCCGCGUGUGUGAAGAAGGUCUUCGGAUUGUAAAGCACUUUAAGUUGGGAGGAAGGGUUGUAGAUUAAUACUCUGCAAUUUUGACGUUACCGACAGAAUAAGCACCGGCUAACUCUGUGCCAGCAGCCGCGGUAAUACAGAGGGUGCAAGCGUUAAUCGGAAUUACUGGGCGUAAAGCGCGCGCAGGUGGUUAGUUAAGUUGGAUGUGAAAUCCCCGGGCUCAACCUGGGAACUGCGUUCAAAACUGACUGACUAGAGUAUGGUAGAGGGUGGUGGAAUUUCCUGUGUAGCGGUGAAAUGCGUAGAUAUAGGAAGGAACACCAGUGGCGAAGGCGACCACCUGGACUGAUACUGACACUGAGGUGCGAAAGCGUGGGGAGCAAAC
RNAcentral lists this ribosomal RNA (745 nucleotides) under uncultured bacterium. Its description in RNAcentral is "bacterial SSU rRNA". It matches the Rfam family "Bacterial small subunit ribosomal RNA", at positions 33 to 773 of the family's 1533-position model. The record is from RNAcentral.